This is a long non-coding RNA of Pezoporus occidentalis (night parrot), 999 nucleotides long. RefSeq lists it as uncharacterized. The record is from RefSeq and is a predicted model, not a curated record. NCBI's taxonomy places the organism in Eukaryota, Metazoa, Chordata, Aves, Psittaciformes, Psittacidae. The transcript has 3 exons.
CGUGACCUACACACCAUGUCCUCCUUUACUACAGGGCAUAGUUUUGCAUUCUGAGUACCAUUUUUGUGUAUUGCAUAAAGCAAGGGUAGAUGAAGAAAUAAAUAUGUGACUAUAUGGCUGGUCUUUAUUAUAAUGGUGUGCACUAAGUGGUGAAAUAAGGUUGCAUGGCAAUUUCUGAUCCAGGAUUUUCCUGAAAAUAGAAAUUGUUAUUAGACUUCCACUGUUUAUAAACAUAUUUUUGCAUGCAGGAAAUGCGCAUAUAUCCAUGCAUAGGUACACCUGCUUCACAUAACCUGUUCUACCAUUUUCUGGUUUUGACCCUGCAUACUAGUUAUGAACAAGAGCUAAUCUUAGCUAGCUAAUGAGAUCUGACAUGGUUGCAGUCCAUAGCAGUAUGGCUGGAGGCUAGAGGAUUUGUGUGUGUGUUGUUUUAUUCAUGUGUUGUCCAGGAGAGGACUGGAAACAUUAUGUAAGAGUGCUAAGCACUCAGUGUCAGCCUCUAGGCAAAAUACGGGUAAAUGACUCCUUCAAAAUAAAAUUAUAUAAAAUUUAACCUUUUUUUUUUUUUUAAUGGAAAGACAAUUUGUAAUGGAGCAUGUCUGUCUGUAACCUCAUCUGCCCUGUAUAAAUGCAGUGAAUGUCUAGAGAGGAGAACACUUACUAUAUAGUUAUAUCAGCAGCAGAUGUCGAGUACAAAGGAAUGUCUAUCAGCAAACUUUGAAAGAUGACACUAGGAGAACUUUUUUCUUAAUUACUGAUUAUAUUAAUGGGAAUACAACUACAAGCAUCAAGUGGUGUUUAGGUCUCUGACUUGGUAGAUGUUACAGCAGAAAACAGCAAUGAAAUUGCAAAGACUGUUCUACCAUCUGGACCUGAUUAGAACACAAUAUCAUUCUACCCAUAAGCACACUAUAUCAGUUUGUGAAGUUGAUUACAAAAGUCCAAAGUCACCUGCAGAUGCCCAGGCAAAAAAAAAGAUUACUUUAACAAGUGAAACAA